AUUGAACGCUGUCGGCAGGCCUAACACAUGCAAGUCGAACGAGUGGCGGACGGGUGAGUAAUGUCUGGGAAACUGCCUGCUGGAGGGGGAUAACUACUGGAAACGGUAGCUAAUACCGCAUACCAUAAGAUGUGCCCAGAUGGGAUUAGCUUGGUGGUGGGGUAACGGCUCACCAAGGCCACGAUCCCUAGCUGGUCUGAUCGGAUUACCCGCACCACUGGAACUGAGUCACGGGCCAGACUCCGACGGGAGGCAGCAGUGGGGAAUAUUGCACAAUGGGCGCAAGCCUGAUGCAGCCAUGCCGCGUGUAGGAAGAAGGCCUUCGGGUUGUAAAGUACUUUCAGCGGGGAGGCGUUACCCGCAGAAGAAGCACCGGCUAACUCCGUGCCAGCAGCCGCGGUAAUAC
Molecule: ribosomal RNA, 406 nt
Filed under: uncultured bacterium
Lineage: Bacteria
Description: partial 16S ribosomal RNA
Rfam family: Bacterial small subunit ribosomal RNA
Source: RNAcentral